CACAGAGACACAAUCCCACAGGUAGCUAGUCAUGUGACCUGCUGACAGGCUAUAAAUAGCUCCUGUUGUAAUCAGGUAAACACUGGCGGGCAGUCAGAUCAGCUGUGCGCUUGGCGAGUGUGUCCAUACAAGGAAUUAUGGGACAGCUGGAGUGUGGACCACCACUAAAACAUUGUGCUGCCUCGCCACAGCGCUGGAGCCAGUUGUCUUUACAAAAACUCAGUUUGUAGAAAACAUCCGCCCAGUGUUUGCAGCAGCCUCUGAUGACACCAUGACAAUGGAAUCUCUCUAAAGAGGCCUGAUGCCGUCACGGACUACAAUCUAGGACCUAGGAUUAUCUGCACUAUAUUUUCCUUGAGCAGUCUGAGACUUUAACCACUGGUCCGAAGCCCUUGUCUUGUAAAAUUCUGUUCGGUCUAGCAAAAGCUCAGUACACAUAAUAGCACUAAGAUGGACUGAAAAUUCUACUUAGAUUCGAGUCCAAGCUACUAGCCUUAAAAGGUCUUGGCACAGACUAUUAGAGGAUCCUCUGAAUGAUACAUUUAAACACAGGCCUAGGUGGCUGGAUCCCUUCACCAUGCUGUCUUGUCAAACACUGAACAGAAGCAGAAACAUUGUUAAUGUUUACAUUUUGAGUUAUGGGCAGUACAGUAUUCUUACUAACAGUUUGUCAAAGGUACAACCAACUUAAGUUCUAAAUCUUUGAAUGACAUUUAGAAGUGAUACACUUAAGGAAGAGAAUAUAUGGAUGUCAACUUCUUUAUUAUGAGGAACACGUUUUGGAGUGCUUACUCCUUCAUCAGAUGAAGCAGUGUUAGAAAUUGUCACUAGUCCUGUAGUCCUUGAUAAAAUGCACAAUAGUUAGGUAUCAUGAGGACUAUUAGAAAUUUGCCCUUUUUAAGAGUUUUACUAUGUUAUCAAUAUAAGGACUAGUGGACUAAAACUGUCAGUUACUAUCACUGUGAAGGAGUAAAUACAUACUCCGAAACGUUGCUCCUCAUUAUAAAGAAGUUGACAUCCAUAAAUUCUCUUCCAGUACUGUUGAAAACACAGGUUAUGAUAUAAAACAAGUGACCAUCAGCAUUUCCAUUCUCCUGUAUAUGCCUGAUAUUGCCAGAUAGACUAUGGCUUGGGUCGGUAAUUGCAGGGGCUGUCUGUCUCUAUGCCCGGAAGAAGCAGUGUUUUAUUGUCGUGUAGCCUCAACCAUUCUUGGACACCUACAAUAUAUACUCUGUCAGUUAGCUGUAUUGUCGUAAAUGGAAACGAAAAAAAUAAAAAUGGAUGUGCCAAGAA
Haliotis rufescens (red abalone) is the source of this 1293-nucleotide long non-coding RNA. RefSeq lists it as uncharacterized. The record is from RefSeq and is a predicted model, not a curated record. The transcript has 2 exons. Lineage: Eukaryota; Metazoa; Mollusca; Gastropoda; Lepetellida; Haliotidae.